This 86-nucleotide transfer RNA is filed under the name Acidobacteriota bacterium. RNAcentral's name for it is "tRNA-Leu". It matches the Rfam family "tRNA". Rfam says of the family: Transfer RNA (tRNA) molecules are approximately 80 nucleotides in length. Lineage: Bacteria; Pseudomonadati; Acidobacteriota. RNAcentral also lists the same sequence under 1 other name. The record is from RNAcentral.
GCCGGAGUGGCGGAAUUGGCAGACGCACCAGACUCAAAAUCUGACGAGGAACAGCCCUCGUGAGGGUUCGAGUCCCUCCUCCGGCA